UUUUAGGUAUAGCAGAUUGGAUGUAAAAGAUCAGUGGUUUAUAUUGAGAAUUUUUUGAUGAAACCAAAGGGAAAUCCACUGUUAGGAAGUGUCAAAGCUAUCAUAAAAAUUUCGUAGAGAUUUGGAUAGAAACAAUGUAGUAUCAAGAUCAAACAAACAGUGCUAUGCGGCUGAAAUUUUACAGUGCAGAUUUUCAAGUAUAGCAGAUUUGACGUAAAAGAUCAAUGGUUUAUAUUGAGAAUUUUUUGAAAAAACCAAAGGGAAAUCUGCUGUUAGGAAGUGUCAAAGAUGUC
This 293-nucleotide long non-coding RNA is filed under the name Musa acuminata (dwarf banana). RNAcentral's name for it is "long non-coding RNA (MACU_LNC003958)". Lineage: Eukaryota; Viridiplantae; Streptophyta; Magnoliopsida; Zingiberales; Musaceae. The record is from RNAcentral.